Molecule: ribosomal RNA, 450 nt
Filed under: uncultured bacterium
Lineage: Bacteria
Description: partial 16S ribosomal RNA
Rfam family: Bacterial small subunit ribosomal RNA
Source: RNAcentral
CCUACGGGGGGCUGCAGUGAGGAAUAUUGGUCAAUGGGCGCAAGCCUGAACCAGCCAUCCCGCGUGCAGGAAGACGGCCCUAUGGGUUGUAAACUGCUUUUCCAGGGGACGAAUAGUUUCUACGUGUAGAGACCUGACGGUACCUUGGGAAUAAGCAUCGGCUAACUCCGUGCCAGCAGCCGCGGUAAUACGGAGGAUGCAAGCGUUAUCCGGAUUCAUGGGGUCGUAAGGGUACUUAUACGGCAGCGGUGAAAUCCUACAGCUUAACUGUAGAACUGCCAUUGAUACUGUUAGUCUUGAGUUUGGUUAAGGUAGGCGGAAUGUGUAAUGUAGCGGUGAAAUGCUUAGAUAUUACACAGAACACCAAUUGCGAAGGCAGCUUACUGGACCGACACUGACGCUGAGGCACGAAAGCGUGGGGAUCGAACAGGAUUAGAUACCCCAGUAGUC